GACGAACGCUGGCGGCGUGCUUAACACAUGCAAGUCGAACGGAAAGGCCCUGCUUGCAGGGUACUCGAGUGGCGAACGGGUGAGUAACACGUGGGUGAUCUGCCCUGCACUUCGGGAUAAGCCUGGGAAACUGGGUCUAAUACCGGAUAUGACCUUCCAUGUAGUGUGGGGGGUGGAAAGAUUUAUCGGUGUGGGAUGAGCCCGCGGCCUAUCAGCUUGUUGGUGGGGUAAUGGCCUACCAAGGCGUCGACGGGUAGCCGGCCUGAGAGGGUGGACGGCCACAUUGGGACUGAGAUACGGCCCAGACUCCUACGGGGGGCAGCAGUGGGGAAUAUUGCACAAUGGGCGGAAGCCUUAUGCAGCGACGCCGCGUGGGGGAUGACGGCCUUCGGGUUGUAAACCUCUUUCGACAGGGACGAAGCUUCGGUGACGGUACCUGUAUAAGAAGCACCGGCUAACUACGUG
This 465-nucleotide ribosomal RNA is filed under the name uncultured bacterium. RNAcentral's name for it is "partial 16S ribosomal RNA". It matches the Rfam family "Bacterial small subunit ribosomal RNA", at positions 28 to 507 of the family's 1533-position model. The record is from RNAcentral.